Molecule: ribosomal RNA, 442 nt
Filed under: uncultured bacterium
Lineage: Bacteria
Description: partial 16S ribosomal RNA
Rfam family: Bacterial small subunit ribosomal RNA
Source: RNAcentral
CCUACGGGAGGCAGCAGUGGGGAAUAUUGGGCAAUGGGCACAAGCCUGACCCAGCAACGCCGCGUGAAGGAAGAAGGCUUUCGGGUUGUAAACUUCUUUUGUCAGGGAAGAGUAGAAGACGGUACCUGACGAAUAAGCCAUGGCUAACUACGUGCCAGCAGCCGCGGUAAUACGUAGGUGGCAAGCGUUGUCCGGAUUUACUGGGUGUAAAGGGCGUGUAGCCGGGUUGACAAGUCAGAUGUGAAAUCCUGCGGCUUAACCGCAGAACUGCAUUUGAAACUGUUGAUCUUGAGUACUGGAGAGGCAGACGGAAUGCCUAGUGGAGGGGUGAAAUGCGUAGAUAUUAGGAGGAACACCAGUGGCGAAGGCGGUCUGCUGGACAGCAACUGACGGUGAGGCGCGAAAGCGUGGGGAGCAAACAGGAUUAGAUACCCGGGUAGUC